UAGCAUAUCAAUAAGCGGAGGAAAAGAAACCAACAGGGAUUGCCUUAGUAACGGCGAGUGAAGCGGCAACAGCUCAAAUUUGAAAGCUGGCCCUUUUAGGGUCCGCGUUGUAAUUUGUAGAGGAUGAUUCGGCGAGGGCUCCCGCCUAAGUCCCCUGGAACGGGGCGUCAUAGAGGGUGAGAAUCCCGUAUGCGGUGGGCUGCCUUAGCCAUGUGAAUCUCCUUCGACGAGUCGAGUUGUUUGGGAAUGCAGCUCUAAAUGGGAGGUAAAUUUCUUCUAAAGCUAAAUACCGGCCAGAGACCGAUAGCGCACAAGUAGAGUGAUCGAAAGAUGAAAAGCACUUUGGAAAGAGAGUUAAAAAGUACGUGAAAUUGUUGAAAGGGAAGCGCUUGCAACCAGACUUGUCCGCAGUUGCUCAGCCGGUCUCCUGACCGGCGUACUCUUCUGCGGCCAGGCCAGCAUCAGUUCGGGCGGUCGGAUAAAGACCUCGGGAAUGUAGCUCCUCUCGGGGAGUGUUAUAGCCCGGGGUGGAAUGCGGCCAGCCUGGACUGAGGAUCUCGCUUCGGCAAGGAUGCUGGCGUAAUGGUUGUAAGCGGCCCGUCUUGAAACACGGACCAAGGAGUCUAACAUCUAUGCGAGUGUUUGGGUGUCAAACCCAUACGCGUAAUGAAAGUGAACGGAGGUGGGAACCCGCAAGGGCGCACCAUCGGCCGAUCCUGAUGUCUUCGGAUGGAUUUGAGCAAGAGCAUAGCUGUUGGGACCCGAAAGAUGGUGAACUAUGCCUGAAUAGGGUGAAGCCAGAGGAAACUCUGGUGGAGGCUCGCAGCGGUUCUGACGUGCAAAUCGAUUGUCAAAUUUGGGUAUAGGGGCGAAAGACUAAUCGAACCAUCUAGUACCUG
This 899-nucleotide ribosomal RNA is filed under the name Diplodia bulgarica. Its description in RNAcentral is "LSU rRNA". It matches the Rfam family "Eukaryotic large subunit ribosomal RNA", at positions 36 to 953 of the family's 3401-position model. Lineage: Eukaryota; Fungi; Ascomycota; Dothideomycetes; Botryosphaeriales; Botryosphaeriaceae. The record is from RNAcentral.